This 253-nucleotide ribosomal RNA is filed under the name uncultured bacterium. RNAcentral's name for it is "partial 16S ribosomal RNA". It matches the Rfam family "Bacterial small subunit ribosomal RNA", at positions 524 to 776 of the family's 1533-position model. The record is from RNAcentral.
UACGUAUGGUGCAAGCGUUAUCCGGAUUUACUGGGUGUAAAGGGAGCGCAGGCGGCACGGCAAGCCUGAUGUGAAAGCCCGCGGCCCAACCGCGGGACUGCAUUGGGAACUACCGGGCUGGAGUGCCGGAGAGGUAGACGGAAUUCCUAGUGUAGCGGUGAAAUGCGUAGAUAUUAGGAGGAACACCAGUGGCGAAGGCGGCCUACUGGACGGUGACUGACGCUGAGGCUCGAAAGCGUGGGGAGCAAACAGG